Molecule: ribosomal RNA, 253 nt
Filed under: uncultured bacterium
Lineage: Bacteria
Description: partial 16S ribosomal RNA
Rfam family: Bacterial small subunit ribosomal RNA
Source: RNAcentral
UACGAGGGGGGCAACUGUUGUUCGGAAUCACUGGGCGUAAAGGGAGCGUAGGCGGGUGUUUAAGUUAGGUGUUUAAUCCUGGGGCCCAACCCCAGUCGUGCACCUAAAACUGGACAUCUUGAAUAGUGGAGAGGUCAGUGGAAUUGGGGGUGUAGCGGUGGAAUGCGUAGAGAUCCCCAAGAACACCAGUUGCGAAGGCGGCUGACUGGACACAUAUUGACGCUGAGGCUCGAAAGCAUGGGGAGCAAACAGG